AGAGUUUGAUCCUGGCUCAGGACGAACGCUGGCGGCGUGCCUAAUACAUGCAAGUCGAACGCCUCUUUUCCCACCGGAGCUUGCUCCACCGGGAAAAGAGGAGUGGCGAACGGGUGAGUAACACGUGGGUAACCUGCCCAUCAGAAGGGGAUAACACUUGGAAACAGGUGCUAAUACCGUAUAACAAUCGAAACCGCAUGGUUUCGUUUUGAAAGGCGCUUUACGGUGCCGCUGAUGGAUGGACCCGCGGUGCAUUAGCUAGUUGGUGAGGUAACGGCUCACCAAGGCCACGAUGCAUAGCCGACCUGAGAGGGUGAUCGGCCACAUUGGGACUGAGACACGGCCCAAACUCCUACGGGAGGCAGCAGUAGGGAAUCUUCGGCAAUGGACGAAAGUCUGACCGAGCAACGCCGCGUGAGUGAAGAAGGUUUUCGGAUCGUAAAACUCUGUUGUUAGAGAAGAACAAGGGUGAGAGUAACUGUUCACCCCUUGACGGUAUCUAACCAGAAAGCCACGGCUAACUACGUGCCAGCAGCCGCGGUAAUACGUAGGUGGCAAGCGUUGUCCGGAUUUAUUGGGCGUAAAGCGAGCGCAGGCGGUUUCUUAAGUCUGAUGUGAAAGCCCCCGGCUCAACCGGGGAGGGUCAUUGGAAACUGGGAGACUUGAGUGCAGAAGAGGAGAGUGGAAUUCCAUGUGUAGCGGUGAAAUGCGUAGAUAUAUGGAGGAACACCAGUGGCGAAGGCGGCUCUCUGGUCUGUAACUGACGCUGAGGCUCGAAAGCGUGGGGAGCAAACAGGAUUAGAUACCCUGGUAGUCCACGCCGUAAACGAUGAGUGCUAAGUGUUGGAGGGUUUCCGCCCUUCAGUGCUGCAGCUAACGCAUUAAGCACUCCGCCUGGGGAGUACGACCGCAAGGUUGAAACUCAAAGGAAUUGACGGGGGCCCGCACAAGCGGUGGAGCAUGUGGUUUAAUUCGAAGCAACGCGAAGAACCUUACCAGGUCUUGACAUCCUUUGACCACUCUAGAGAUAGAGCUUCCCCUUCGGGGGCAAAGUGACAGGUGGUGCAUGGUUGUCGUCAGCUCGUGUCGUGAGAUGUUGGGUUAAGUCCCGCAACGAGCGCAACCCUUAUUGUUAGUUGCCAUCAUUUAGUUGGGCACUCUAGCAAGACUGCCGGUGACAAACCGGAGGAAGGUGGGGAUGACGUCAAAUCAUCAUGCCCCUUAUGACCUGGGCUACACACGUGCUACAAUGGGAAGUACAACGAGUCGCGAAGUCGCGAGGCUAAGCUAAUCUCUUAAAGCUUCUCUCAGUUCGGAUUGUAGGCUGCAACUCGCCUACAUGAAGCCGGAAUCGCUAGUAAUCGCGGAUCAGCACGCCGCGGUGAAUACGUUCCCGGGCCUUGUACACACCGCCCGUCACACCACGAGAGUUUGUAACACCCGAAGUCGGUGAGGUAACCUUUUUGGAGCCAGCCGCCUAAGGUGGGAUAGAUGAUUGGGGUGAAGUCGUAACAAGGUAGCCGUAUCGGAAGGUGCGGCUG
This 1541-nucleotide ribosomal RNA is filed under the name Enterococcus mundtii. RNAcentral describes it as "bacterial SSU rRNA". It matches the Rfam family "Bacterial small subunit ribosomal RNA". Lineage: Bacteria; Bacillati; Bacillota; Bacilli; Lactobacillales; Enterococcaceae. The record is from RNAcentral.